GAUGAAGAACGCAGCGAAAUGCGAUAAGUAAUGUGAAUUGCAGAAUUCAGUGAAUCAUCGAAUCUUUGAACGCACAUUGCGCCCGCCAGUAUUCCGGCGGGCAUGCCUGUUCGAGCGUCAUUUCAACCAUCAAGCCCCAGGCUUGUGUUGGGGACCUGCGGCUGCCGCAGGCCCUGAAAACCAGUGGCGGGCUCGCUGUCACACCGGGCGUAGUAGAUUUUAUCUCGCUCAGGGCGUGCUGCGGGUUCCGGCCGUUAAAAAGCCUUUUUUACCCAAGGUUGACCUCGGAUCAGGUAGGAAGACCCGCUGAACUUAAGCAUAUCAAUAAGCGGAGGA
This 336-nucleotide unclassified non-coding RNA is filed under the name soil metagenome. RNAcentral's name for it is "partial contains 5.8S ribosomal RNA, internal transcribed spacer 2, and large subunit ribosomal RNA". The stretch from base 1 to 120 matches the Rfam family "5.8S ribosomal RNA", at positions 35 to 154 of the family's 154-position model. The record is from RNAcentral.